Molecule: small nuclear RNA, 106 nt
Filed under: Mandrillus leucophaeus (drill)
Lineage: Eukaryota; Metazoa; Chordata; Mammalia; Primates; Cercopithecidae
Source: RNAcentral
AUGCUCACUUCAGCAACACAUACUAAAAUUGGAACCAUACAGAGAAGAAUAGCAUGACCCCCGUGCAAACAGGACAUGCAAAUUUUGUGAUGUGUUGAUUAAAAAG